Molecule: ribosomal RNA, 603 nt
Filed under: Saccharomyces cf. cerevisiae/paradoxus
Lineage: Eukaryota; Fungi; Ascomycota; Saccharomycetes; Saccharomycetales; Saccharomycetaceae
Description: LSU rRNA
Rfam family: Eukaryotic large subunit ribosomal RNA
Source: RNAcentral
UUAAGCAUAUCAAUAAGCGGAGGAAAAGAAACCAACCGGGAUUGCCUUAGUAACGGCGAAGUGAAGCGGCAAAAGCUCAAAUUUGAAAUCUGGUACCUUCGGUGCCCGAGUUGUAAUUUGGAGAGGGCAACUUUGGGGCCGUUCCUUGUCUAUGUUCCUUGGAACAGGACGUCAUAGAGGGUGAGAAUCCCGUGUGGCGAGGAGUGCGGUUCUUUGUAAAGUGCCUUCGAAGAGUCGAGUUGUUUGGGAAUGCAGCUCUAAGUGGGUGGUAAAUUCCAUCUAAAGCUAAAUAUUGGCGAGAGACCGAUAGCGAACAAGUACAGUGAUGGAAAGAUGAAAAGAACUUUGAAAAGAGAGUGAAAAAGUACGUGAAAUUGUUGAAAGGGAAGGGCAUUUGAUCAGACAUGGUGUUUUGUGCCCUCUGCUCCUUGUGGGUAGGGGAAUCUCGCAUUUCACUGGGCCAGCAUCAGUUUUGGUGGCAGGAUAAAUCCAUAGGAAUGUAGCUUGCCUCGGUAAGUAUUAUAGCCUGUGGGAAUACUGCCAGCUGGGACUGAGGACUGCGACGUAAGUCAAGGAUGCUGGCAUAAUGGUUAUAUGCCGCCC